RNAcentral lists this ribosomal RNA (429 nucleotides) under Chloroflexota bacterium. RNAcentral describes it as "Chloroflexi bacterium partial 16S ribosomal RNA". It matches the Rfam family "Bacterial small subunit ribosomal RNA", at positions 355 to 776 of the family's 1533-position model. The record is from RNAcentral. Lineage: Bacteria; Bacillati; Chloroflexota.
UGGGGAAUAUUGCACAAUGGGCGCAAGCCUGAUGCAGCCAUGCCGCGUGUGUGAAGAAGGCCUUCGGGUUGUAAAGCACUUUCAGCGGGGAGGAAGGCGGUGAGGUUAAUAACCUCAUCGAUUGACGUUACCCGCAGAAGAAGCACCGGCUAACUCCGUGCCAGCAGCCGCGGUAAUACGGAGGGUGCAAGCGUUAAUCGGAAUUACUGGGCGUAAAGCGCACGCAGGCGGUCUGUCAAGUCGGAUGUGAAAUCCCCGGGCUCAACCUGGGAACUGCAUUCGAAACUGGCAGGCAAGAGUCUUGUAGAGGGGGGUAGAAUUCCAGGUGUAGCGGUGAAAUGCGUAGAGAUCUGGAGGAAUACCGGUGGCGAAGGCGGCCCCCUGGACAAAGACUGACGCUCAGGUGCGAAAGCGUGGGGAGCAAACAGG